RNAcentral lists this ribosomal RNA (253 nucleotides) under uncultured bacterium. RNAcentral's name for it is "partial 16S ribosomal RNA". It matches the Rfam family "Bacterial small subunit ribosomal RNA", at positions 524 to 776 of the family's 1533-position model. The record is from RNAcentral.
UACGUAGGGUGCAAGCGUUAAUCGGAAUUACUGGGCGUAAAGCGUGCGCAGGCGGUUCGCUAAGACCGAUGUGAAAUCCCCGGGCUUAACCUGGGAACUGCAUUUGUGACUGGCGGGCUAGAGUAUGGCAGAGGGGGGUAGAAUUCCACGUGUAGCAGUGAAAUGCGUAGAGAUGGGGAGGAAUACCGAUGGCGAAGGCAGCCCCCUGGGCCAAUACUGACGCUCAUGCACGAAAGCGUGGGGAGCAAACAGG